Molecule: ribosomal RNA, 863 nt
Filed under: Escherichia coli
Lineage: Bacteria; Pseudomonadati; Pseudomonadota; Gammaproteobacteria; Enterobacterales; Enterobacteriaceae
Description: partial 23S ribosomal RNA
Rfam family: Bacterial large subunit ribosomal RNA
Source: RNAcentral
UGUGUGUUAGUGGAAGCGUCUGGAAAGGCGCGCGAUACAGGGUGACAGCCCCGUACACAAAAAUGCACAUGCUGUGAGCUCGAUGAGUAGGGCGGGACACGUGGUAUCCUGUCUGAAUAUGGGGGGACCAUCCUCCAAGGCUAAAUACUCCUGACUGACCGAUAGUGAACCAGUACCGUGAGGGAAAGGCGAAAAGAACCCCGGCGAGGGGAGUGAAAAAGAACCUGAAACCGUGUACGUACAAGCAGUGGGAGCCUCUUUAUGGGGUGACUGCGUACCUUUUGUAUAAUGGGUCAGCGACUUAUAUUCUGUAGCAAGGUUAACCGAAUAGGGGAGCCGAAGGGAAACCGAGUCUUAACUGGGCGUUAAGUUGCAGGGUAUAGACCCGAAACCCGGUGAUCUAGCCAUGGGCAGGUUGAAGGUUGGGUAACACUAACUGGAGGACCGAACCGACUAAUGUUGAAAAAUUAGCGGAUGACUUGUGGCUGGGGGUGAAAGGCCAAUCAAACCGGGAGAUAGCUGGUUCUCCCCGAAAGCUAUUUAGGUAGCGCCUCGUGAAUUCAUCUCCGGGGGUAGAGCACUGUUUCGGCAAGGGGGUCAUCCCGACUUACCAACCCGAUGCAAACUGCGAAUACCGGAGAAUGUUAUCACGGGAGACACACGGCGGGUGCUAACGUCCGUCGUGAAGAGGGAAACAACCCAGACCGCCAGCUAAGGUCCCAAAGUCAUGGUUAAGUGGGAAACGAUGUGGGAAGGCCCAGACAGCCAGGAUGUUGGCUUAGAAGCAGCCAUCAUUUAAAGAAAGCGUAAUAGCUCACUGGUCGAGUCGGCCUGCGCGGAAGAUGUAACGGGGCUAAACCAUG